RNAcentral lists this ribosomal RNA (427 nucleotides) under uncultured bacterium. Its description in RNAcentral is "partial 16S ribosomal RNA". It matches the Rfam family "Bacterial small subunit ribosomal RNA", at positions 354 to 796 of the family's 1533-position model. The record is from RNAcentral.
GUGGGGAAUAUUGGGCAAUGGGGGCAACCCUGACCCAGCGACGCCGCGUGAGGGAAGAAGGCCUUAGGGUCGUAAACCUCUGUUGUGUGGGAAGAAGGAAGUGACGGUACCACACGAGGAAGUCCCGGCUAACUACGUGCCAGCAGCCGCGGUAAUACGUAGGGGACGAGCGUUGUCCGGAAUUACUGGGCGUAAAGGGCGCGUAGGCGGUCAUUUAAGUCAGCUGUGAAAUGGUCCGGCUCAACCGGAUCAUGCGGUUGAAACUGGAUGACUGGAGUGCUGGAGAGGCAAGUGGAAUUCCCAGUGUAGCGGUGAAAUGCGUAGAUAUUGGGAAGAACACCGGUGGCGAAGGCGACUUGCUGGCCAGCAACUGACGCUGAGGCGCGAAAGCCAGGGGAGCAAACGGGAUUAGAAACCCGGGUAGUCC